This 1078-nucleotide long non-coding RNA is filed under the name Oncorhynchus mykiss (rainbow trout). Its description in RNAcentral is "lncRNA (ENSOMYG00000008309.2)". Lineage: Eukaryota; Metazoa; Chordata; Actinopteri; Salmoniformes; Salmonidae. The record is from RNAcentral.
AUCAGAUCAGUUACAAUGCCUGGCAAAAUGUUUUACACAACUCAGGAACCACAUCAACAACACACUGUAAUCGUCCCAAAAUCCACACAGAAACUAUGCAGAAUAUGUCAGAGAGGAAUGUACCCACCCCUCUUCUGCCUGCGCCUCUCCCCUCACCCCCGCCCCCAUCCCCUUGGCCCUCUGCAUACCACUUGAGACUCCUGCUCCUAAUAUAGACCCAACUGGUUUGUGGGAUAGGCAUGGGGAGAGGAGCCUGCGUGUAGCAGGACCUAGCGUUUUGUUGUUGGGUGCGUAGUGCCCAACUCUUUUAUGGAGAGAAUACUUAUAUGGCAGAUCUCGUUUCAAGAGAUGCGUGAACAGUGGUUGUUUCGGUCGAGGGCGUGGUCAAGUGCCUCCCUGACGAGACCCCCGGAGACCGUCAUCGAUCGCAUCAUUAAGGCUGAGGUUAGUGUCCCACUCUGCUCCUCCCCCCAGGGUUGUGUCCAUAAGGCACCAAAUGGAAGAAAACAGGCUGCAACAGGGAGGGACUAGCUGAACGUGUAUGAUCCAGGUCAUGUCCUCUGUCACAGUGGCCCUGCCUCUCCACUCCACCUAUGAGUUUGUUUUAAAAAUACAUGAAAGUAAUGGGUUAUGCCAUGCUGUAACAUUUCACUCUAUUAGCCCACACAAUGAAAUAUAAAUAGAGUUAUGAAGGUUUGUGACAUUAGGCCACUAGUAUUUGUAUGUAUUUCAAUGUAUUAACUGUAGACUGUAUAGGUUAUAGCCCUCUGUUUCUUACUGCUCUGCUCUACUCUACUUAACUACCGGUACGCCCUUGUUGUGUAACCACGGCCAACCAUUUUCCGCCACACACUCCCAUCCUGCCCCAUCCUCUCCCCAUUCUGCCCCAAUUUUCUCCCCAUUCUACCCCAUCCUGCCCCAAUCCACUAUCCAUCCUCUCCCCAUACUGUCCUCAUCCUGUCCCCAUCCUCUCCCAAUCGUGCCCUCCAUCCUCUCUCCAUCCUGUCCCCGUCUUACCCCCCAUCCUGCCCCAUUGCUCUCUCCAUCCUCCCCCCCCCCCCUUCAACUCCUCAUCCUG